GACGAACGCUGGCGGCGCGCUUAACACAUGCAAGUCGAACGGAAAGGCCUGCUUUCCCUUGUGGAUUGCGGGUACUCGAGUGGCGAACGGGUGAGUAACACGUGAGUGAUCUGCCCCCAACUUGGGUAUAAGCCUGGGAAACCGGGUCUAAUUCCCGAUAGUACUGCAGGGUGGUGCCUGUGGUGGAAAACGAUUUUCUAGUGGUUGGGGAUGAGCUCGCGGCCUAUCAGCUUGUUGGUGGGGUAAUGGCCUACCAAGGCGGCGACGGGUAGCCGGCCUGAGAGGGUGGACGGCCACAUUGGGACUGAGAUACGGCCCAGACUCCUACGGGAGGCAGCAGUGGGGAAUAUUGCACAAUGGGCGGAAGCCUGAUGCAGCGACGCCGCGUGGGGGAUGACGGCCUUCGGGUUGUAAACUCCUUUCGACCGCGAGGAAGCCACCUGGUUGGAAGGGUGGUGACGGUAGUGGUAGAAGAAGCACCGGCUAACUACGUG
This 494-nucleotide ribosomal RNA is filed under the name uncultured bacterium. Its description in RNAcentral is "partial 16S ribosomal RNA". It matches the Rfam family "Bacterial small subunit ribosomal RNA", at positions 28 to 507 of the family's 1533-position model. The record is from RNAcentral.